GCCCCUGUGGCGCAGUGGUCAGCGCGCUCCCGCCUUCCGGGAGAGGUCCUCGGUUCGACUCCGAGCAGAAGCA
RNAcentral lists this transfer RNA (73 nucleotides) under Clonostachys solani. It matches the Rfam family "tRNA". Rfam says of the family: Transfer RNA (tRNA) molecules are approximately 80 nucleotides in length. Lineage: Eukaryota; Fungi; Ascomycota; Sordariomycetes; Hypocreales; Bionectriaceae. The record is from RNAcentral.